CAGCCGCCGCGGUAAUACCGGCGGCCCGAGUGGCGGUCACUAUUAUUGGGCUUAAAGCGUCCGUAGCCGGGUUGGGAAGUCCUCCGGGAAAUCUGGCCGCUUAACGGUCAGAAUGCCGGAGGAUACUCCCAGCCUAGGGGGCGGGGGAGGCCGAGGGGAUUCCCGGAGUAGGGGGGAAAUCCUAUAAUCCCGGGAGGACCACCUGUGGCGAAGGCGCUCGGCUGGAACGCGUCCGACGGUGAGGGACGAAGGCCAGGGGAGCAAACCGGAUUAGAUACCCGGGUAGUCCUGGCUGUAAACGAUGCGGACUUUGUGUCGGACAAGCUAUGAGCUUGUCCGGUGCCGGAGGGAAACCGUUAAGUCCGCCGCCUGGGGAGUACGGCCGCAAGGCUGAAACUUAAAGGAAUUGGCGGG
This 414-nucleotide ribosomal RNA is filed under the name uncultured microorganism. RNAcentral's name for it is "bacterial SSU rRNA". It matches the Rfam family "Archaeal small subunit ribosomal RNA", at positions 459 to 872 of the family's 1478-position model. The record is from RNAcentral.